RNAcentral lists this ribosomal RNA (254 nucleotides) under uncultured bacterium. RNAcentral describes it as "partial 16S ribosomal RNA". It matches the Rfam family "Bacterial small subunit ribosomal RNA", at positions 524 to 776 of the family's 1533-position model. The record is from RNAcentral.
UACGUAGGGGGGCAAGCGUUGUCCGGACUUACUGGGCGUAAAGCGCGCGCAGGCGGAUGGGUAUGUGCCGUGUGAAAGCGCCGUCCUUACGAUGGCGAGGUCAUGGUAGACAGCCCCGUCUGGAGGCUCGAAGAGGUCGGUGGAAUUCCGGGUGGAGCGGUGAAAUGCGUAGAUAUCCGGAGGAACACCAGGGGGAAACCAGCCGCCUGGGCAUGCGCUGACGCUGAGGUGCGAGAGCGUGGGGAGCGAACCGG